This is a long non-coding RNA of Zalophus californianus (California sea lion), 329 nucleotides long. RefSeq lists it as uncharacterized. The record is from RefSeq and is a predicted model, not a curated record. Lineage: Eukaryota; Metazoa; Chordata; Mammalia; Carnivora; Otariidae. The transcript is spliced from 3 exons.
GUGACUGAGGCUUCUGUCUGACCAAGGAUAUUGCUGUGAGUGGUAUAACCACUCAUCUCUGUGCUUGUAUAAGGAACACAAAGACAUUUUAGAAUCCUGCCAACAAGCUCAGAACGAGUGACCAACCGGAAAAGGACUCCUUCCUGAAAUGGUGACUCAGCAAAUAGUUCAAGAUACAAAUUCAUGUGUGAAUAAUGAGAUACAUAAAAAAUUCCACCCUGAAGUACAUAAAAAUGCCUAUCCUCUCCUAUUUCUAGAAGCCAUCAUCUUUAUUAUUUUUGUUUGGAAAUUAGAAUACCAUCAUCAUGAGAGAAGGAAGGAAGAGCAAG